Long non-coding RNA from Odocoileus virginianus texanus, 421 nucleotides. RefSeq lists it as uncharacterized. The record is from RefSeq and is a predicted model, not a curated record. NCBI's taxonomy places the organism in Eukaryota, Metazoa, Chordata, Mammalia, Artiodactyla, Cervidae.
CUGCAGCUCCGCGCUGCGGGGCGCUCCGCCGCCAUCUUGAGGCCCGGUAGCCAUGAGGGGUGAAGAGUCAUCACAGAGUAAGGCUACAGCAGUCGUCAUAACGUCAGCUAUUCAGCAGAGAUCUCCGUCAUCCACCAACCAGCAUGAGCUGCAUACAGCCCUGUGCACCACUGGAGGAUUCAAGGGUGAAUAAGGUUCCCUGCUCGCAGUGUGUUUUCAACUGAAUCUCCCAGGAAUUCCUGCUUUGGCCAAGGUUGUGAGAGGGGUUUCUGGCCUCACUCGCUGCGCUGACAUUGAUUCAACAGAAGCCAGAGCUAACGGAUGUGAUCGCUGGGGAGACCUGCUAGCAACUGACCAGGUAGAGGGUUUGGGGGAAACAGCAGUUUCUCCAAAGUGCCUCGGACAUUCUGGAGUGAGGCGA